This 385-nucleotide long non-coding RNA is filed under the name Vitis vinifera (wine grape). Its description in RNAcentral is "long non-coding RNA (VVIN_LNC000321)". The record is from RNAcentral. Lineage: Eukaryota; Viridiplantae; Streptophyta; Magnoliopsida; Vitales; Vitaceae.
GGAGAAGACCGACUGGUCCAAGGCUCCAUUUGUGGCUUCGUACAAGAGUUUCCACGUGGAUGGGUGUGAGGCUUCAGUGGAAGCCAAAUUUUGUGCGACCCAGGGCAAGAGAUGGUGGGACCAAAGGGAAUUUCAAGAUCUCGACUCCCUUCAGUACAGGAGACUCGCCUGGGUCCGCCAGAAAUACACCAUCUACAACUACUGCACUGACCGAGUUAGAUACCCCACCAUGCCACCUGAAUGCAAGAGAGACAGAGACGUUUAGACCCUUCUACUAAUACUAAUACUAAUACCACUGCUACUACUAUUAUCUCUCUCGCUUAUUGCUUUGUUCCAUUCAUAGUUCUUUGGGAUUUGCCUCUUAUUACUAUGCUCUCAUCUUCAU